AAAUUGAAGAGUUUGAUCAUGGCUCAGAUUGAACGCUGGCGGCAGGCCUAACACAUGCAAGUCGAGCGGUAGCACAGAGAGCUUGCUCUCGGGUGACGAGCGGCGGACGGGUGAGUAAUGUCUGGGAAACUGCCUGAUGGAGGGGGAUAACUACUGGAAACGGUAGCUAAUACCGCAUAACGUCGCAAGACCAAAGUGGGGGACCUUCGGGCCUCAUGCCAUCAGAUGUGCCCAGAUGGGAUUAGCUAGUAGGUGGGGUAACGGCUCACCUAGGCGACGAUCCCUAGCUGGUCUGAGAGGAUGACCAGCCACACUGGAACUGAGACACGGUCCAGACUCCUACGGGAGGCAGCAGUGGGGAAUAUUGCACAAUGGGCGCAAGCCUGAUGCAGCCAUGCCGCGUGUGUGAAGAAGGCCUUCGGGUUGUAAAGCACUUUCAGCGGGGAGGAAGGCGGUGAGGUUAAUAACCUCAUCGAUUGACGUUACCCGCAGAAGAAGCACCGGCUAACUCCGUGCCAGCAGCCGCGGUAAUACGGAGGGUGCAAGCGUUAAUCGGAAUUACUGGGCGUAAAGCGCACGCAGGCGGUCUGUCAAGUCGGAUGUGAAAUCCCCGGGCUCAACCUGGGAACUGCAUUCGAAACUGGCAGGCUAGAGUCUUGUAGAGGGGGGUAGAAUUCCAGGUGUAGCGGUGAAAUGCGUAGAGAUCUGGAGGAAUACCGGUGGCGAAGGCGGCCCCCUGGACAAAGACUGACGCUCAGGUGCGAAAGCGUGGGGAGCAAACAGGAUUAGAUACCCUGGUAGUCCACGCCGUAAACGAUGUCGAUUUGGAGGUUGUGCCCUUGAGGCGUGGCUUCCGGAGCUAACGCGUUAAAUCGACCGCCUGGGGAGUACGGCCGCAAGGUUAAAACUCAAAUGAAUUGACGGGGGCCCGCACAAGCGGUGGAGCAUGUGGUUUAAUUCGAUGCAACGCGAAGAACCUUACCUGGUCUUGACAUCCACAGAACUUUCCAGAGAUGGAUUGGUGCCUUCGGGAACUGUGAGACAGGUGCUGCAUGGCUGUCGUCAGCUC
This 1069-nucleotide ribosomal RNA is filed under the name Klebsiella pneumoniae. RNAcentral's name for it is "bacterial SSU rRNA". It matches the Rfam family "Bacterial small subunit ribosomal RNA", at positions 1 to 1061 of the family's 1533-position model. The record is from RNAcentral. Lineage: Bacteria; Pseudomonadati; Pseudomonadota; Gammaproteobacteria; Enterobacterales; Enterobacteriaceae.